GUCUAGCUGACAAGUCCCAAAUAAGAUGACACGCGUGUCCUGGAU
This 45-nucleotide non-coding RNA is filed under the name Schistosoma haematobium. The record is from RNAcentral. Lineage: Eukaryota; Metazoa; Platyhelminthes; Trematoda; Strigeidida; Schistosomatidae.